AUUGAACGCUGGCGGCAUGCCUUACACAUGCAAGUCGAACGGCAGCACGGGAGCUUGCUCCUGGUGGCGAGUGGCGAACGGGUGAGUAAUACAUCGGAACGUACCCUGAAGUGGGGGAUAACGUAGCGAAAGUUACGCUAAUACCGCAUAUUCUGUGAGCAGGAAAGAGGGGGAUCGCAAGACCUCUUGCUUUAGGAGCGGCCGAUGUCGGAUUAGCUAGUUGGUGAGGUAAAGGCUCACCAAGGCGACGAUCCGUAGCGGGUCUGAGAGGAUGAUCCGCCACACUGGGACUGAGACACGGCCCAGACUCCUACGGGAGGCAGCAGUGGGGAAUUUUGGACAAUGGGCGCAAGCCUGAUCCAGCCAUGCCGCGUGAGUGAAGAAGGCCUGGUUGUAAGCUCUUCGUGGGAGAAUGCACAGGAUAAUACCUUGUGUAGAUGACGGUA
Molecule: ribosomal RNA, 446 nt
Filed under: uncultured bacterium
Lineage: Bacteria
Description: bacterial SSU rRNA
Rfam family: Bacterial small subunit ribosomal RNA
Source: RNAcentral